Molecule: non-coding RNA, 5151 nt
Organism: Sus scrofa (pig)
Lineage: Eukaryota; Metazoa; Chordata; Mammalia; Artiodactyla; Suidae
Source: RefSeq, a predicted model, not a curated record
GCAGGUUAAACCUGCAGGGACGCGCUGCCGCGAGCGGCGCGGGAAGGCGGCGCUGGCGGCGGCCCCGGGACCCGCGGAAGCCGGCAUGCUGGAGAAAUUCGAGUUGGAAGAAGAAGCAGAAGACUCAGAAAGUGGCGUUUACAUGCGAUUCAUGAGGUCACACAAGUGUUACGACAUCGUUCCAACCAGCUCCAAGCUUGUUGUCUUUGAUACCACGUUGCAAGUUAAAAAGGCCUUCUUUGCCUUGGUAGCCAAUGGUGUUCGAGCAGCGCCUCUGUGGGAGAGUAAAAAACAAAGUUUUGUAGGAAUGCUAACAAUUACAGAUUUCAUUAAUAUACUGCAUAGAUACUAUAAAUCGCCCAUGGUACAGAUUUAUGAAUUAGAGGAACAUAAGAUUGAAACAUGGAGGGAGCUUUAUUUACAAGAAACAUUUAAGCCUUUAGUGAAUAUAUCUCCAGAUGCAAGGUAAACUUGUAAAGUUUUUCUCCUUUGAAAACAUUCAUUUGUUCAGAUUCAUCUGUUUUGUUACCAUGGUUUUGUUUUUUUGUUUUGUUUUUCCAAUCUAGAGACCAGCCUCCUUCACUGCAAAUAUUAAAUUCAGUAAACUUAGAGACCGUAAAUAUCACAGCCGUUGCUGAUCCGAAGGGUUGAUAACAGACUAGGAAGGUGGUCAUACUAAGCAGUUUUAAAAUCCAGGAUCACUUGCAGCAGAAACCAUUUAGGGAGCUUCUUAAACUGCAGAUUCCUACGCUCUGCUCCCAACCUAUUAAAUCAGUCUCUGGAGGCGCUUCGUGCCCAGGAAUGUGCAUUAAAACAACUCCCCCGAGGGGUUCUGACUUGCCCUGACGUUGCAAAAUCCGUCUCGUGAGGCCUUGGUCCAGGUGGGCAGAGCAGUGGGCUGCCUUUUGGUAGGGGGUCUGCUGGCGCAUGUAUUCUGACGGCACGGAUACGUUUCCACAGGUGUAUGAGAGCAUUCUUAAAGCUCUAGUGCACUUGUGAGAAAAAGCAGAAUAUUGAUUUUUAUUGUGUUCUUUCCAAGUCCUAAAAAACAGCCACACCGGCACACAGUCAUCACAGGAGAGGCCAGGGCAGCCAGAGUGGACUGGCCCAGGGAGGAGGCAGUGCAGAGGCCCCGCCACAGCGCCCCCUGUUGUCAGGGUCACCGCUAGCUCUCCUGGCUGGGGGUGCGCUUCUGUCAUUCUUCAGUAAAGGCAUUAAACCUGCUCCUAAAACACUGCUUUCCCAGAGGUUUGUCGCUCACACCUGGAUUUAAGGUUUUAUAUUAACACAGAUUGUGGAAAAUCAAAAAUUUUGCUGAGAUCUCCAGUUUAAAAUUUUUCCAGAACAGUUUUAGGUCAGUCAGUCAGCCUUUUAUGAUUGUAAUUUAAAGAAACUGAAAAUACGUUUUAAAGCAGGGGUGGUCCGAAGUUUCCUACUUCUUCUUUAAAGCCUCCUAACAACUUUAAUGGCUUUUCCCGCAGCCUCUUCGAUGCUGUACACUCGUUGAUCAAAAAUAAAAUCCACAGAUUGCCAGUUAUUGACCCCGUCAGUGGGAAUGCCCUUUAUAUACUUACCCACAAAAGAAUCCUCAAGUUCCUCCAGCUUUUUGUAAGUAGUUUUGAGUGUUUCUAAAGACAUAGUUGCAUCUACUUUAACUAAUUUACUCAAGUAAAUUGGCUCCUGUUAGCCUCAAAGAAGUUGUUAGUUUUGAGGUCUCCAUUUCUAAAGUUCAGUUUCUCAGCUUACGACUGUUUGAAUUACACAUUCUCAAAGUUGAUUCCAGUUAAAAAGCAGUCACCUUUCAGUACAAGUAUCAAAAUAAUAAGAACACUUGGCAUUCUCUGUUAGAAUUUUUAUCACCUCCAAUGAGGGAAAUAAAUCAGUUUUGCAAGUCAGCGUGAUUAAAGAACUGCUGUGCAAGACAACUUGAGCCAAACUGCCUAAUGAUGCUUUAUCGGUAUCAUGGUUUUGGAAACAUUCAAAAAGUCCUGUCCCCAGGAUCAUCUUAUUAACUACGGCAGUGAUAGAAAAACCCAAAGCAAAUAAAAUUUUGACAAAAGAAUACCAUGUUGGUCCAAAUUAGGGCUAUGUUGUCUCUAGGUUUUCUCAACUGCGUUUGAAAUGAGAUGGCUUCGUAAUUAUCCUGAACUUAGAACCUCUUUGGUCAGCCGUGUGAGAGAGGCCUGGAGAGACCAGAGUCUUUACAAGAGGGCUCCACUCUUUUCCCUGUGAUUCCAGGCACUGGAUUUGGCGGUGUAAGUGAUGAGUCACCUAGGCCCAGUAGGAGGCCUCGUUCAUGGUCCCGAGGAGCUCGCAGCAAGAGCUUUGUUUGUUUUUAAAGAAUUUAGUAGACAUUAAAAUCUACACCAGCUUAGCUUUCCUGUUUUUUCUGCACAGCUUCAAAUAAGAAAAUACAGUCGAGUUCUAGGAGCCCAGGGCCGCCUCCUGGGAGCUGCCUCACUCUUGCUGGACAGCAGUGCAAGUGUGUUCAGUGAUGGGGAGAAACGCCUUGUCCAUCAAGCCAGUCCUGUACCUUAAUAGUUACAUAACUAUUAAGUAAAUGCUGAGAAAUGUAUAAAAAUCUCAAAGUUUGGUAAAGAGAUACCUAGGGAGGAAGAAUUAAGGACCCCUGUGUCACGCAGCGGCUCUUGUCUGCCGCAGGCUGUGGCUGCAGUGGCCUUGCAACUGCACUUUAGCACGACCCAGGGUCUCUGCCCACGUACCCCUUAGAGUCCUCAUUUCGAAACAACAUUACUCAUGAGAGCUGAAGGCUCCUAGGCAGUCGCCACAGUGUGUCAGGCCCUUCACGUGAUGGACCUCGGUCCUCACCCCCACCCCCCCAGGUAGGUACUUUUAUUCAUCUGAUUUGCAAGUGAUGACACUCGGGAGGCGAGGUAACCGCCCGGGUCACUGCUGAUGGUGGAGCCUCUGACCCGGGGCAGCCCUCCCUCGGCAGCUCCGCCGGGGGAGUCGUGGGCCCCCUGCCCAGCGGCUCCAGGUCCAGCCCUUGCCGUGGCUGCGCGGCCCCGGGGGAGCCACGGCCUGAGACAGGCCUUCAGCGAGUCCUCUCUGGACGGAGAAGGGGAGGCGGCUGCCUCUGCCAGGACUGCCUGAUAUUUGGGCCAAUAUGGUAAUGAGAAUCAUGCCGUUAGAACAGGCUGCUAGGGGUGUUCAGGUGAAAAUAAUUUUAAAUAAAUUCCAGAACCUGAUUUUUACUGAACCAAGAUCAUUUUCUGAGAAAAAGUGUGUUGCCCGUGGAGCCAUGUGACAGUCAGCCUAAGUGUAGGGUAGGGAACAGGGGUGAUCCUGCAUCGAGAUGGGCUAGGUGACCUAAUAGGUCUUUCUUUUUUUUUUCUCUAAAUUUCUAGGAUUCUCAUGAUUUGAAUAUUGAUGAACUCUUUGACUUGAACAUUUUGUUUCUUCUAAUUGUUCAUCUUUUCCUGAUAAUUAUAAGGUACACCAGGAGGAUGGAAUCAACUGUACCCUUUAUAAAAGAUGUCUGACAUGCCAAAGCCUGCCUUCAUGAAGCAGAACCUGGACGCGCUGGGCAUCGGGACCUACGACAACAUCGCCUUCAUACACCCGGACACGCCAAUCAUCAGAGCCUUGAACGUCUUCGUGGAAAGGCGGGUGUCGGCCUUGCCCGUGGUGGACGAGUCAGGAAAAGUUGUAGAUAUUUAUUCCAAAUUUGAUGUAAUUAACCUUGCUGCUGAGAAAACAUACAACAACCUAGACAUCACGGUGACCCAGGCCCUUCAGCACCGGUCGCAGUAUUUCGAAGGCGUUGUCAAGUGCAGUAAGCUGGAGAUCCUGGAGACCAUCGUGGACAGGAUAGUGAGGGCCGAGGUCCAUCGGCUGGUGGUAGUAAAUGAAGCAGAUAGUAUCGUGGGUAUUAUUUCCCUGUCGGACAUUCUGCAAGCCCUGAUCCUCACCCCCGCAGGUGCCAAACAGAAAGAGACAGAAACCGAAUGACAGCCAUGAGUGCGGGAGCCUUCGCAGGAGAACUUGAACAAGAUCCUGGGUCACGCUUUGCCUCAUGAACACGGACCGCGAAAGAACAGAGGAAAACGGCUGAGAAUGUGUAUCCGGGUUUAGUGAUGGGUAUUUUUUCCAGUGAUGUUGAAACUAAGCAUAUAAAAGAGAAAGAUUUUAUGUGUCUGAAGAUUCAAGCUCACAUUAAAAGACUGUUUUCAGACCACGGUCUGAAAGAUCUCAAUGCUGUAUGUUAUUAAAGUGCACUGUGUCCUGAAUUUUUAUUGUUUUUCAUUUUAAAGAAUUCACUGGUAUCUAGCAGGUGAUAUGGCAUAAGGCAAGCGUGUGGCACAUUCAGAUCCAGUGCCUUAUGUCCAGCAGCGACAGGCCUUCCCUACCGCCUGUCGCAGCUUGUGAAGUGAUACUGCUGGAGUGGGAACGUCUCUGAACCUUUACCAAAUCAGUUUGUUUCAUUAGAUCUGUUGAACAGCUGUAAUUUGAAUAUGAAUACUUACUUUAUAAAACUUUAAUGAUGGUUUUAUGUUUAAGUGUUCCGUUCUGAACUACAGUGUAAAUGACUGAUCUACAACAGCUUUAUUUAUUUUUACUUUCGUGCAGUUUUUUUACACCUUUUGGUGGGUAAACUUCCCCAUGCCCAUUAAUAAAGCAUUGGUUUAUUAAUUUUAAAAGGGCAAAUUUCUCAUUAUUUAAGUUUGGACCUGGAAAGGAUAUGACUUCUCAAAGAGCCACUGUUAGGCUUUAAAAGCUGAAGUUUCUAACAGCACGAGUGAGAGCCUGCUCUGCAGGGCUGCAGACCAAGUGCCGGGAAGAUGUCUAUUUUUUCUUGUGUUUUUACAUGAAAAUCAUGAUGUUUGUGUGACUGCUGAUGCGAUUGUUUUGUAAAUUGUACUGUGGCAUAUACAGUAUUGUCAUACAGUUGAGGAGAAACACAAUGUUUCCUAAUGUAAGUGCUCUGAAAAUGUUGACACUGUAUAUAUAUAUAUGAGUAUAGUUUGGUUUUUUGUUUUUGGGGGUUUUUUGCAGAAUGAAAAAUUAAAAUAAAUCUUACUAUCGGCCAUCUUGUUAAAGAAAUUCUUUAAUAUUUGCUGCAAUACAGUGUAUUCUACAUGCAGUUUCCCACUGAGAUAUUUCUUCCCAAAUAAAGGAGAUGAAUUCUCA